Molecule: ribosomal RNA, 428 nt
Filed under: uncultured bacterium
Lineage: Bacteria
Description: partial 16S ribosomal RNA
Rfam family: Bacterial small subunit ribosomal RNA
Source: RNAcentral
GUAGGGAAUAUUGCACAAUGGAGGAAACUCUGAUGCAGCGACGCCGCGUGAGUGAUGAAGGCCUUCGGGUCGUAAAGCUCUGUCGCAGGGGAAUAACACAAUGAAGGUACCCUGUAAGAAAGGAUCGGCUAACUUCGUGCCAGCAGCCGCGGUAAGACGAGGGAUCCUAGCGUUGUUCGGAAUCAUUGGGCGUAAAGCGGAUGUAGGUGGCUAUGUAAGUCAGAUGUGAAAGCCUGGGGCUCAACCCCAGAAGUGCAUUUGAUACUGCGUAGCUUGAGUGUCGGAGAGGUUACUAGAAGUGUUGGUGUAGUGGUGAAAUACGUAGAUAUCAACAGGAAUACCGGAGGCGAAGGCGGGUAACUGGCCGAACACUGACACUGAGAUCCGAAAGCGUGGGGAUCAAACAGGAUUAGAUACCCUGGUAGUCC